This 186-nucleotide microRNA precursor is filed under the name Oryza glumipatula. Its description in RNAcentral is "MIR812 microRNA precursor family". It matches the Rfam family "MIR812 microRNA precursor family". Lineage: Eukaryota; Viridiplantae; Streptophyta; Magnoliopsida; Poales; Poaceae. The record is from Rfam by way of RNAcentral.
AAAAAUUUUAUUCGUGGUUUUUCUGUUCAAUAUUUGAUCGUCUGUCUUAUUUGAAUUUUUUUUAUAAUUAAUAUUUUUAUUGUUAUUAGAUGAUAAAAUAUAAAUAGUACUAUAUACAUGACUUAUUUUCUAAUUUUUCAUAAAUUCUUCGAAUAAGACGAAUGGUCACGUUGGAUAUACAAAUCC